RNAcentral lists this unclassified non-coding RNA (212 nucleotides) under fungal sp. Its description in RNAcentral is "partial internal transcribed spacer region". The stretch from base 1 to 46 matches the Rfam family "Eukaryotic small subunit ribosomal RNA", at positions 1786 to 1831 of the family's 1831-position model. RNAcentral also lists the same sequence under 1 other name. The record is from RNAcentral. Lineage: Eukaryota; Fungi.
AAGUCGUAACAAGGUUUCCGUAGGUGAACCUGCGGAAGGAUCAAUACAAAACGGAUGGCUGGCCGGUGGCGGUCCGCGGGCUCUGCGUCUGCGGGUCGCACACGGCGGCCACAUGUGCCCGGACCGACGGUCCGCGACAUUUGCGCAUGUAGAGUUUGACAGAGUGGUUGGCGUCGAAGAAACAACUUUUAACAAUGGAUCUCUUGGCUCCU